RNAcentral lists this non-coding RNA (787 nucleotides) under Pan troglodytes (chimpanzee). The record is from RNAcentral. Lineage: Eukaryota; Metazoa; Chordata; Mammalia; Primates; Hominidae.
AGAAUCUGGCUGCCUUCAGCCAAAUCUUUGACUGAAGCUAUGCAAGCCCCCUGGCCUUCCAAGAAGUAUUCAAUCCAGGUUUAAGUCCUUCAGCAUCUGACAUUCUCCUGGCAACUGUAAUUGAAUCAAUGAUGACUCAUCUGAGAUGAGCAAGUUGGUCCAGUCAGACCAAACAAAAGACAUUCUAUAAUCAGGGGAGAAGUCUUCUCUAUAUCUCUCUUAUAUGAGCAAAUUUAAUGACCUCCACCAUCUCUAAGAACAAGCAGCUAUUUCUGUAGAGAAAGAUCGUCUUUGGAUAACAAUACAUGAUUUUAGGCUCCAAAAGUUAAAACGUGUUUGUAAUGUUGAUAUUAUGCAGAGGUCUUGACAGAACUUGGCAGUCUCUGAGGCUACAGAGAAGUGUGAAAAAGAGCAUAGAGAUUUCAGAAGGAGGCAGAUUCAGUCAGACGUACUGAAUCCCGUUUGAUCUCAACUCAGGCACACUCCAGAUGGACGUACUGAACAGCACACUGGAGUUUUUGUCCAGAAGUUUGACUUUAGAAGAUAAGAAAUAACUGAGCGUACAAGCAGGAGUUAGAGGAAGAGACUCAGUACAGAAGAGACAGGAACAAAAGUUCACCUCCAUUCAAUGGGAAAGGAUACAGAUCAAGAGUUCAGGAAAAGUAGGAGAAAGAAGCUCUAUUCCAGAAGCAGUCUGGAGCACAAAGAAUCCCUAAUCACUGACAUUAAGAAAGAAGAAAAAUAUUCCUAGGACGAUCCUGGAGAGCAAAGGUCAUCAGCAGUCACU